Molecule: ribosomal RNA, 270 nt
Filed under: uncultured Thermovirga sp.
Lineage: Bacteria; Thermotogati; Synergistota; Synergistia; Synergistales; Thermovirgaceae
Description: partial 16S ribosomal RNA
Rfam family: Bacterial small subunit ribosomal RNA
Source: RNAcentral
GCCAUCGGUAAGGCCGGGCACUCUGGAUGGACUGCCGGCGACGAAAGCCGGAGGAAGUGGGGACGACGUCAAGUCAUCAUGGCCCUUAUGUCCAGGGCGACACACGUGCUACAAUGGCCGGGCACAACGGGAAGGCGAAGGGGCGACCCUGAGCGGAUCCCACAAAAGCCGGUCUCAGUUCGGAUUGCAGUCUGCAACUCGACUGCAUGAAGUUGGAAUCGCUAGUAAUCGUGGAUCAGCCAAGCCGCGGUGAAUACGUUCCCGGGCCUU